This 378-nucleotide long non-coding RNA is filed under the name Medicago truncatula (barrel medic). Its description in RNAcentral is "long non-coding RNA (MTRU_LNC002119)". The record is from RNAcentral. Lineage: Eukaryota; Viridiplantae; Streptophyta; Magnoliopsida; Fabales; Fabaceae.
GAAUCCAAAGGAAAAAGUACCAGAACGUGAACAAUCAUAAUGAUUAACUGAAAUCAUUUCAUGAGGGGUUUGUUUAUAUUUGUGUAAAUAUCAGAACAAUUCUGAUCCAUUCAUCACGGCCAUAAUGAAAAUAAAUGAAAGGAAAGAGUAAACGAAUUGAGAUGCUGAGAUCGAUCGAAGAAGCAGAUGAGAGCGGUGGAGAGAGAUGAACGAAUGAAAGAUUUUUGGUUUGAGAAAUAAAGAGUUGAUUAAAAAAAGCUAACCACUGUAAAUAUCUUCUGUCUCCUUCUUCAAUUGUGUGGAUAUGGGGUUGGAGUUGUGGAGAGGAAAUCAAAGUGGAAGAAGGUGAUAGAAAUUGGAGAAGAAUGAAUGGCAGUA